RNAcentral lists this ribosomal RNA (254 nucleotides) under uncultured bacterium. RNAcentral describes it as "partial 16S ribosomal RNA". It matches the Rfam family "Bacterial small subunit ribosomal RNA", at positions 524 to 776 of the family's 1533-position model. The record is from RNAcentral.
UACGGGGGGAGCAAGCGUCGUUCGGAUUUACUGGGCGUAAAGGGUGCGUAGGCGGUCAGCACAAGUCAGUUGUGAAAUCUCCGAGCUUAACUCGGAAAGGUCAACUGAUACUGUUGAGCUGGAGUGUGGAAGGGGCUACUGGAAUUCCCGGUGUAGCAGUGAAAUGCGUAGAUAUCGGGAGGAACACCAGUGGCGAAGGCGAGUCCCUGGACAAUUCCUGACGCUGAGGCACGAAAGCUAGGGGAGCAAACAGG